This is a long non-coding RNA of Megachile rotundata (alfalfa leafcutting bee), 235 nucleotides long. RefSeq lists it as uncharacterized. NCBI's taxonomy places the organism in Eukaryota, Metazoa, Arthropoda, Insecta, Hymenoptera, Megachilidae. The record is from RefSeq and is a predicted model, not a curated record.
CGACGACGACGACGACGACGGCUACUACGACUACGACUACGACGAUGACGAUGACGGCGGUGGAGGCGGCGAUGACGAGAUUUCUGGUAGGAGGAGCCAAGUUCACUACCGCCCCUAUCCAGUUACGCCAAUGUUUGUUAGGAAAGCGAAAACUACGUUUAUACAUUUGUAGCAUGAUGUAGUACCGUUGAAACAUUCAAUAAACAUUCUGAAUAUUUUUAUGAGGAAUAAUUUA